AGGAGUGCCUUGUUUCCGUCGCAUGUUGGACAGAAUAAUUUGGACUGCAGGUAGCAGAGAACCCCAAAUUGAAUGAUUUAAACAGUAGAAAAUGGAAUAUCUUGAAGUCUGGAGAUGGUGAUCCUAAGAUAAGAACUCUUCCCAAGAUGCUGUUUUUCUCUUCCUCUGUGGAUGCUUUGUGUUCCCAAGGCUUACUUAAACUAUCACACCACCACCAUGGCGAUCAGCGACGAACAGAAGCUGGUAAGCUAGGACCUACCUGGAACAACUUUAUGUAUGAAUUAUUCUGUACCUGGUUUAGUUGCGUUGGUAUGA
Long non-coding RNA from Lagenorhynchus albirostris (white-beaked dolphin), 315 nucleotides. RefSeq lists it as uncharacterized. The transcript is spliced from 3 exons. NCBI's taxonomy places the organism in Eukaryota, Metazoa, Chordata, Mammalia, Artiodactyla, Delphinidae. The record is from RefSeq and is a predicted model, not a curated record.